UUACGGCCACAUCACGUUGGAACACCGGUUCCCAUACGACCACCGAAAUUAAGCAACGUCGAGCCCGGUUAGUACCUAGAUGAAUGACCACUUGGAAAUACCAG
This is a non-coding RNA of Acanthosepion pharaonis, 104 nucleotides long. NCBI's taxonomy places the organism in Eukaryota, Metazoa, Mollusca, Cephalopoda, Sepiida, Sepiidae. The record is from the annotation of a GenBank genome assembly.